GCAAGUCGAGCGCGCCCUUCGGGGUGAGCGGCGUAUGAGUUAGUAACGCGUGGGAAUAUACUCAGUUCUAAGGAAUAGCCUCGGGAAACUGAGAGUAAUACCUUAUACGCCCUUCGGGGGAAAGAUUUAUCGGAAUUGGAUUAGCCCGCGUUAGAUUAGAUAGUUGGUGAGGUAACGGCCUACCAAGUCGACGAUCUAUAGCUGGUUUGAGAGGAUGAUC
This 220-nucleotide ribosomal RNA is filed under the name uncultured bacterium. RNAcentral describes it as "partial 16S ribosomal RNA". It matches the Rfam family "Bacterial small subunit ribosomal RNA", at positions 57 to 305 of the family's 1533-position model. The record is from RNAcentral.